RNAcentral lists this unclassified non-coding RNA (222 nucleotides) under uncultured fungus. Its description in RNAcentral is "partial contains 18S rRNA, ITS1, 5.8S rRNA, ITS2 and 28S rRNA". Lineage: Eukaryota; Fungi. The record is from RNAcentral.
AAGGAUCAUUAACAAAUCAUUUGUGGUGCGGGAGCAAUCCCCACCAUAUCAACCCGAACCCGUGCUUCGGCCGGGCUAGGUGUGUGCUUUCCUCUCGAGGGAAGCACACCGGUGAAGAUUGCGGCUUUGGCUGCAGUCCGAUCCACAUGGACGCUUGUAUGUUUGACAGAGUUAGUUGACACUUUAAAAUGACAACUUUUAACAAUGGAUCUCUUGGCUCUU